Molecule: ribosomal RNA, 468 nt
Filed under: uncultured bacterium
Lineage: Bacteria
Description: partial 16S ribosomal RNA
Rfam family: Bacterial small subunit ribosomal RNA
Source: RNAcentral
GACGAACGCUGGCGGCGUGCUUAACACAUGCAAGUCGAACGGAAAGGCCCUGCUUUUGUGGGGUGCUCAAGUGGCGAACGGGUGAGUAACACGUGAGUAACCUGCCCUUGACUUUGGGAUAACUUCAGGAAACUGGGGCUAAUACCGGAUAGGAGCUCCUGCUGCAUGGUGGGGGUUGGAAAGUUUCGGCGGUUGGGGAUGGACUCGCGGCUUAUCAGCUUGUUGGUGGGGUAGUGGCUUACCAAGGCUUUGACGGGUAGCCGGCCUGAGAGGGUGACCGGCCACAAUGGGACUGAGAUACGGCCCAGACUCCUACGGGAGGCAGCAGUGGGGAAUAUUGCACAAUGGGCGGAAGCCUGAUGCAGAAACGCCGCGUGCGGGAUGACGGCCUUCGGGUUGUAAACCGCUUUCGCCUGUGACGAAGCGUGCGUGACGGUACUGGGUAAAGAAGCACCGGCUAACUACGUG